AUUGAACGCUGGCGGCAGGCCUAACACAUGCAAGUCGAGCGGAUGAAGGGAGCUUGCUCCUGGAUUCAGCGGCGGACGGGUGAGUAAUGCCUAGGAAUCUGCCUGGUAGUGGGGGAUAACGUCCGGAAACGGGCGCUAAUACCGCAUACGUCCUGAGGGAGAAAGGGGGGGAUCUUCGGACCUCACGCUCUCAGAUGAGCCUAGGUCGGAUUAGCUAGUUGGUGGGGUAAAGGCCUACCAAGGCGACGAUCCGUAACUGGUCUGAGAGGAUGAUCAGUCACACUGGAACUGAGACACGGUCCAGACUCCUACGGGAGGCAGCAGUGGGGAAUAUUGGACAAUGGGCGAAAGCCUGAUCCAGCCAUGCCGCGUGUGUGAAGAAGGUCUUCGGAUUGUAAAGCACUUUAAGUGGGGAGGAAGGGCAGUAAGUUAAUACCUUGCUGUUUUGACGGUACCAACAGAAUAAGCACCGGCUAACUUCGUG
This 484-nucleotide ribosomal RNA is filed under the name uncultured bacterium. RNAcentral describes it as "partial 16S ribosomal RNA". It matches the Rfam family "Bacterial small subunit ribosomal RNA", at positions 30 to 507 of the family's 1533-position model. The record is from RNAcentral.